GACGAACGCUGGCGGCGUGCCUAAUACAUGCAAGUCGAGCGAUGAAGCUUGGUGCUUGCACCAAUUUGGAGAGCAGCGAACGGGUGAGUAACGCGUGUGGCCUCUGCCUUUGAGCGGGGGACAACAUUGGGAAACGAAUGCUAAUACCGCAUAACAACUUUAAACAUAAGGUUUAGUGUGAAAGAUGCAAUUUCGUCACUCUAGGCUGGUCCCGCGUUUUAUUAGCUAGUUGGUGGGGUAAAGGCGCACCAAGGCGAUGGUGGGUAGCCGACCUGGGAGGGGGACCGGCCCCAUUGGGACUGGGGUACGGCCCAGACGGCUACGUGAGGCAGCAGUGGGGAAUAUUGCACACCGGGCCGAAGCCUGAUACAGCGUCUCCGCGUGCGGGAUGACUGCUUGCGGGUUGAAAACCGCUUUGGCCUGUGACGAAGCGUGAGUGACGGUAAUGGGCAAAGAAGCACCGGCUAACUACGUG
This 475-nucleotide ribosomal RNA is filed under the name uncultured bacterium. RNAcentral describes it as "partial 16S ribosomal RNA". It matches the Rfam family "Bacterial small subunit ribosomal RNA", at positions 28 to 507 of the family's 1533-position model. The record is from RNAcentral.